RNAcentral lists this ribosomal RNA (620 nucleotides) under uncultured Gammaproteobacteria bacterium. RNAcentral describes it as "partial small subunit ribosomal RNA". It matches the Rfam family "Bacterial small subunit ribosomal RNA", at positions 121 to 735 of the family's 1533-position model. Lineage: Bacteria; Pseudomonadati; Pseudomonadota; Gammaproteobacteria. The record is from RNAcentral.
GGAAUCUACCUGGUAGUGGGGGACAACUCGGGNAAACUCGAGCUAAUACCGCUUACGCCCUAAGGGGGAAAGCGGGGGACCUUCGGGCCUCGCGCUAUCAGAUGNNNNUGCGNGGGAUUAGCUAGUUGGUNGGGUAAUGGCCUACCAAGGCAACGAUCCAUAGCUGGUCUGAGAGGAUGAUCAGCCACACCGGGACUGAGACACGGCCCGGACUCCUACGGGAGGCAGCAGUGGGGAAUAUUGCGCAAUGGGCGAAAGCCUGACGCAGCCAUGCCGCGUGUGUGAAGAAGGCCCUCGGGUUGUAAAGCACUUUCAAUUGGGAGGAAAGAUUCAGGGCUAAUACCCGUGAAUUUUGACGUUACCUUUNNAAUAANNNCCGGCUAACUCCGUGCCAGCAGCCGCGGUAAUACGGAGGGUGCAAGCGUUAAUCGGAAUUACUGGGCGUAAAGCGCGCGCAGGUGGUUUGUUAAGUCGGAUGUGAAANCCCUGGGCUCAACCUGGGAACUGCAUCCGAUACUGGCAAACUGGAGUGCGGGAGAGGGAGGUAGAAUUCCACGUGUAGCGGUGAAAUGCGUAGAUAUGUGGAGGAAUACCAGUGGCGAAANGCGGCCUCCUGGCUC